AGGUAUUGAAAUAGUCUAUUUAUCAUUCUGAUUGCUCAUUUUACUUAUUCCAAAUUAAUCUAAUAAGAAUAAACUUGCAUAGGGAGAUUCGAACACGGAGAAUGAUUAGUUGCUUAAGCAUUCACAUUAGGGUCACACAAUCAAUUACCUCCUGAAUGUAUCGUCUUUAUUUCCAAUAUCUGAAUAUACAAGGAAACAAUAAUCUCCUCCUUCACCUUAUCGGUCUCUUCCUUACAGCAAUUCAGUCAUACUAAUAACUGCUAUUUCCACCAAUAUAUUCACCCUCAUAAUCUCCAACUAUAAUACUACGCCCUUACAGCUUUCAGCACACAAUUACCCUCAUUUCAAUCACUGGAAUUCUUCACACAGAACUGCCAUUCACAUUACGGUGUUUCACACAAACACAAACUCAUUCUCUCUACUGCACUACAAUCAGAUUUCAGCAUUCAAUCUUUCUUCUUCUCAAAUAAUACCAAUCACAUUUCCAUUCCAUAAUUCACUUCACAAUAUUCAGAAACUCUCAAUUCUCUUAUUCAAAGAAAAUAACAAACAAAAGAAAAGAGGUAGCACCAAGCUUACCUCGCCUCACAACUAUCACAGCGAUGGCCCUCAGCUCAUGACUAUUACAGUCUGGCACCUUAAUUAACUUCUACAACUCCUAUAUACUUUCCCCUGAUUUUCUAGAUUCUAAUCAUAAUUUUGUAAUUAACCACUUUUAAUAACUAAAUUACUCAUCCAUCCUCUUGAAUUUCCUAUUAUAUGGACUAUUAAUAUAUUUUACCAAUAU
This 787-nucleotide long non-coding RNA is filed under the name Physcomitrium patens. RNAcentral describes it as "long non-coding RNA (PPAT_LNC009626)". Lineage: Eukaryota; Viridiplantae; Streptophyta; Bryopsida; Funariales; Funariaceae. The record is from RNAcentral.